RNAcentral lists this ribosomal RNA (918 nucleotides) under uncultured archaeon. RNAcentral describes it as "bacterial SSU rRNA". It matches the Rfam family "Archaeal small subunit ribosomal RNA", at positions 1 to 921 of the family's 1478-position model. The record is from RNAcentral.
UUCCGGUUGAUCCUGCCGGAGGUCAUUGCUAUUGGAGUCCGAUUUAGCCAUGCUAGUUGCACGAGUUUAGACUCGUAGCAGAUAGCUCAGUAACACGUGGCCAAACUGCCCUAUAGACGGCGAUAACCUCGGGAAACUGAGGCUAAUAGCCGAUACCGUUCACUACCUGGAGUGGUGUGAACGCGAAACGUUCAGGCGCUAUAGGAUGUGGCUGCGGCCGAUUAGGUAGACGGUGGGGUAACGGCCCACCGUGCCCAUAAUCGGUACGGGUUGUGAGAGCAAGAGCCCGGAGACGGUAUCUGAGACAAGAUACCGGGCCCUACGGGGCGCAGCAGGCGCGAAACCUUUACACUGCACGCGAGUGCGAUAAGGGGACUCCGAGUGCGAGGGCAUAUAGUCCUCGCUUUUCACCACCGUAAGGUGGUGGUGGAAUAAGUGCUGGGCAAGACCGGUGCCAGCCGCCGCGGUAAUACCGGCAGCACGAGUGAUGACCGCUAUUAUUGGGCCUAAAGCGUCCGUAGCUGGCCACGCAAGUCUAUCGGGAAAUCUGCGCGCUUAACGCGCAGGCGUCCGGUGGAAACUGCAUGGCUUGGGACCGGAAGACCAGAGGGGUACGUCCGGGGUAGGAGUGAAAUCCCGUAAUCCUGGACGGACCACCGGUGGCGAAAGCGCCUCUGGAAGACGGAUCCGACGGUGAGGGACGAAAGCUCGGGUCACGAACCGGAUUAGAUACCCGGGUAGUCCGAGCUGUAAACGAUGUCUGCUAGGUGUGGCACAGGCUACGAGCCUGUGCUGUGCCGUAGGGAAGCCGAGAAGCAGACCGCCUGGGAAGUACGUCCGCAAGGAUGAAACUUAAAGGAAUUGGCGGGGGAGCACUACAACCGGAGGAGCCUGCGGUUUAAUUGGAUUCAACGCCGG